UAAGAAAGUGUUAAACAUAUUGAACAUAAAACACCUCUUAAGGACCUCAUGCUAUGAACGGGAUGGGAUGUUGUAUCCAAUUAGUUUACACAUAUUUAAAAUUUAACACUUAAAAACCAAAAUAUU
This 126-nucleotide small RNA is filed under the name Arabidopsis thaliana (thale cress). Its description in RNAcentral is "ATSL307720". The record is from RNAcentral. Lineage: Eukaryota; Viridiplantae; Streptophyta; Magnoliopsida; Brassicales; Brassicaceae.